AGCUUUGCGCAGUGGCAGUAUCGUAGCCAAUGAGGUUUAUCCGAGGCACGAUUAUUGCUAAUUAAAAACCACUGAAUGGGCAGCCCCGGUGGCUUAGCGGUUUGGCGUCGCCUUCAGCCUGGGGUGUGAUCCCAGAGACCUGGGAUCGAGUCCCACGUCGGGCUCCCUCCAGGGAGCCUGCUUCUCCCACUGCCUGUGUCUCUGCCUCUCUCUCUCUCUCUGUGUCUCUCAUUAAUAAAUAAAUUUUUAAAAACUUUUUAAAAAA
Molecule: small nuclear RNA, 265 nt
Filed under: Canis lupus familiaris (dog)
Lineage: Eukaryota; Metazoa; Chordata; Mammalia; Carnivora; Canidae
Description: U4 spliceosomal RNA (ENSCAFG00000027314.2, ENSCAFG00845000914.1)
Rfam family: U4 spliceosomal RNA (bases 1-77)
Source: RNAcentral